AUGCGGCGACGCAGAGCGGAACCCGAAAACCUGUCUCAGUUCGGAUUGGAGUCUGCAACCCGACUCCAUGAAGCUGGAUUCGCUAGUAAUCGCGCAUCAGCCACGGCGCGGUGAAUACGUUCCCGGGCCUUGUACACACCGCCCGUCAAGCCAUGGAAGCCGGGAGUGCCUGAAGUGCGUGAGCGCAAGCAGCGCCCUAAGGUAAAACCGGUGACUGGGGCUAAGUCGUAACAAGGUAUC
Molecule: ribosomal RNA, 240 nt
Filed under: uncultured bacterium
Lineage: Bacteria
Description: partial 16S ribosomal RNA
Rfam family: Bacterial small subunit ribosomal RNA
Source: RNAcentral